UGUCCUUCACCUGUGCUCCAUGCUCAAUGCAGAACUGUGCUUACUUUCUGACAAGCCCUUGCACUUCUAUUAUUGCAGGCUCCAGACUCUGCAGCCCCAAGGCUUCCAGCUGCUGUGCUCUGGGCACAGUGUGAAGAAGAGUUUACAGCACCUGUGCCAAGCUGACUAUGAAGCCAAGUAUCAGCAUGUGCUCUUGAAUGUCCACGGGAAACUACAGAGGCUGGAGGGACUAGGACUGGCAAGACAGUCUUGAACUAUUACAACUGGAUAAAAGGUGGGUCCAGGCAGUGCAAGAGACAGUAGAAGUGAAGGAGGCACAAAGGAAACACAGAAAGAAAAGGAAUAAGAAGGAACACCCACCCCCCCACCCCCCAAACAACUAAAGAUAAGUUGUUUUGAUGAGCUCUGUACAUCCUGUUUUGGGACAGGACAGUUGUUUAUCAGGUUUUGGCCACUGUGUGCAGGAGGAGGACAAACCACCGAGUGGGGAGAGGGUUUGGAAGCAGUGUGGGUACAGAAUUAAAACAAGGCUACUGGACAUGUGUGUACAUAUACAUGUGUGAUGGGGCUCUGUGGCAUGGUGACCACUGUGAAGCUCACCACAUGUGGAUGAGGCUGGAAAGGUCUCUAGUUGUUUGGAUUGUGGCUGUGUCUGAAGGGAGAGCCAGAGCUUAUAUGGAAAGCCUUACAGUAGUGGCAUCUACUGCCAUUCUUAAUGCCUACAUCAGUCUGGGAGCUCCUGGACCUGUCAGCUCUUUGGUGUAGGAAUCUGAUAGGGAAGAGGAGCACAGGGAGGAACCUGUGAGUGCCUCUUCUGCCUGACUCCUCAGCAGGUCCUGUAGCAUGUGAGGGUGUGAGGCAGGCCCUGAGCCCCUUCAGAGGGUCAGCAGGUAAUUCUGGCCAGUGUGGAUCUGCCCUCCUCUCACACCUGUGCUUGGACACUCACUUCAAUAAGCUUGAAUGUGGAUUCCAAAGUGGGGCUGGAGAUACAGCCACUGCAUCCCACAGGAGAACAAGUGUGCCUGUGACCCCAGUGCUAUACCAGUGAGAUGCUGCAGACUGCUCAUGGGUGUAAAGUAUCUGCAGUGGCAAUGGGAAAUGUGUCUGACGACUCUUGAAGGCAGCUGGCAGACCUGGAACUGGGAAGCCCGAAAGGGCUCGUGAACCAGUUCUUAUGUAGGCCUUUUGUCUGUGCUGGAAACAGCCACCAAAAGGAACAUGAGCAAAGUCCUUGUUCCUUGUCUGGUCAGCACAUGCAGCCACACCAGAAAGAUCUCUGUCACAGCUUGGAACCAAGUUCACAGGGUAAGGACUGAAUGGGUUCAGAUUUAAAGAAAAAACAAACCUUUCCCCCUCCCCAAAGAAAAAAAAACAGCUGGCAACAACUGCCCCCAAAACCCAACCUCCAAAACAAAGAAAAAACUCACCCAAACCCUCCAAAAACCUCUAGCCACAUACUUAUUUAAUAUUAAACAAGUGACACAACUUGCCUGUGGUGUGGUCCUGGAGGUAAGUCAGUUGGGCCAACAUGAUAGUUUCCAACAAAGCCGUGUCCAGUGAGGCAGCAUGGUCCAGGAGAAAGUCAGGGGAUCGGUGUAGCAGUUCAGGGUAGAGGCAUGUAGUCUGGAUGCAUGGCCACCCUUGCUAGCCCUCAGGCACCCUUGGCAGGUCUCUAUGUCAGCUCAGCAAUCCCAGACACCCUUAGCUAUAGGGCUGGGUAGAGAAUAUGGGCUGAAAUUCCACCAGCAGCUAAUGAGUCCCUGUUGCCAUUGUUGGCACUCAUAGCCUGCCCAGCUGGAAGGUUCUCAUGUUGGCAGGGACACAGCAAAAUAAAAGGUUAUUUGCAGGAAAGUAAUUUGAGAGUAAACUAAAUUUAACAGGUCCUAAACCUAUGUCAAGCUACCACAACAUCCUAGCUAAUGGCAUCUGCUCUGUGUCCUGCAGAAUGAGCAGUGAUAACUGGGGUGGGACAGGGUGCUUUCAGCAUCUUUCACCCCUCCAAGUGUGACCUGCUAUGCAAUCCACCCCU
This 2029-nucleotide long non-coding RNA is filed under the name Falco tinnunculus (common kestrel). Its description in RNAcentral is "lncRNA (ENSFTIG00000012772.1)". The record is from RNAcentral. Lineage: Eukaryota; Metazoa; Chordata; Aves; Falconiformes; Falconidae.